RNAcentral lists this ribosomal RNA (759 nucleotides) under uncultured bacterium. RNAcentral describes it as "bacterial SSU rRNA". It matches the Rfam family "Bacterial small subunit ribosomal RNA", at positions 95 to 839 of the family's 1533-position model. The record is from RNAcentral.
GUGGCGGACGGGUGAGUAACACGUAGGUAACCUGCCCCGGAGCGGGGGAUAACAUUUGGAAACAGAUGCUAAUACCGCAUAACAACGAAAGCCACAUGGCUUUUGUUUGAAAGAUGGCUUUGGCUAUCACUCUGGGAUGGACCUGCGGUGCAUUAGCUAGUUGGUAAGGUAACGGCUUACCAAGGCGAUGAUGCAUAGCCGAGUUGAGAGACUGAUCGGCCACAAUGGAACUGAGACACGGUCCAUACUCCUACGGGAGGCAGCAGUAGGGAAUCUUCCACAAUGGGCGCAAGCCUGAUGGAGCAACACCGCGUGAGUGAAGAAGGGUUUCGGCUCGUAAAGCUCUGUUGUUGGAGAAGAACGUGCGUGAGAGUAACUGUUCACGCAGUGACGGUAUCCAACCAGAAAGUCACGGCUAACUACCUGCCAGCAGCCGCGGUAAUACGUAGGUGGCAAGCGUUAUCCGGAUUUAUUGGGCGUAAAGCGAGCGCAGGCGGUUGCUUAGGUCUGAUGUGAAAGCCUUCGGCUUAACCGAAGAAGUGCAUCGGAAACCGGGCGACUUGAGUGCAGAAGAGGACAGUGGAACUCCAUGUGUAGCGGUGGAAUGCGUAGAUAUAUGGAAGAACACCAGUGGCGAAGGCGGCUGUCUGGUCUGCAACUGACGCUGAGGCUCGAAAGCAUGGGUAGCGAACAGGAUUAGAUACCCUGGUAGUCCAUGCCGUANACGAUGAGUGCUAGGUGUUGGAGGGUUUCCGCCCU